GACGAACGCUGGCGGCGUGCCUAAUACAUGCAAGUAGAACGCUGAAGGAGGAGCUUGCUUCUUUGGAUGAGUUGCGAACGGGUGAGUAACGCGUAGGUAACCUGCCUGGUAGCGGGGGAUAACUAUUGGAAACGAUAGCUAAUACCGCAUAAUAGUAGAUGUUGCAUGACAUUUGCUUAAAAGGUGCAAUUGCAUCACUACCAGAUGGACCUGCGUUGUAUUAGCUAGUUGGUGGGGUAACGGCUCACCAAGGCGACGAUACAUAGCCGACCUGAGAGGGUGAUCGGCCACACUGGGACUGAGACACGGCCCAGACUCCUACGGGAGGCAGCAGUAGGGAAUCUUCGGCAAUGGACGGAAGUCUGACCGAGCAACGCCGCGUGAGUGAAGAAGGUUUUCGGAUCGUAAAGCUCUGUUGUAAGAGAAGAACGAGUGUGAGAGUGGAAAGUUCACACUGUGACGGUAUCUUACCAGAAAGGGACGGCUAACUACGUG
RNAcentral lists this ribosomal RNA (495 nucleotides) under uncultured bacterium. RNAcentral's name for it is "partial 16S ribosomal RNA". It matches the Rfam family "Bacterial small subunit ribosomal RNA", at positions 28 to 507 of the family's 1533-position model. The record is from RNAcentral.